RNAcentral lists this ribosomal RNA (450 nucleotides) under uncultured bacterium. RNAcentral describes it as "bacterial SSU rRNA". It matches the Rfam family "Bacterial small subunit ribosomal RNA", at positions 354 to 796 of the family's 1533-position model. The record is from RNAcentral.
GUGGGGAAUAUUGGACAAUGGGCGAAAGCCUGAUCCAGCCAUGCCGCGUGUGUGAAGAAGGUCUUCGGAUUGUAAAGCACUUUAAGUUGGGAGGAAGGGCAGUAAGUUAAUACCUUGCUGUUUUGACGUUACCAACAGAAUAAGCACCGGCUAACUUCGUGCCAGCAGCCGCGGUAAUACGAAGGGUGCAAGCGUUAAUCGGAAUUACUGGGCGUAAAGCGCGCGUAGGUGGUUCAGCAAGUUGGAGGUGAAAUCCCCGGGCUCAACCUGGGAACUGCCUCCAAAACUACUGAGCUAGAGUACGGUAGUGGGUAGUGGAAUUUCCUGUGUAGCGGUGAAAUGCGUAGAUAUAGGAAGGAACACCAGUGGCGAAGGCGACUACCUGGACUGAUACUGACACUGAGGUGCGAAAGCGUGGGGAGCAAACAGGAUUAGAAACCCCAGUAGUCC